RNAcentral lists this ribosomal RNA (497 nucleotides) under uncultured bacterium. RNAcentral's name for it is "partial 16S ribosomal RNA". It matches the Rfam family "Bacterial small subunit ribosomal RNA", at positions 28 to 507 of the family's 1533-position model. The record is from RNAcentral.
GACGAACGCUGGCGGCGUGCCUAAUACAUGCAAGUUGAGCGCUGAAGGUUGGUACUUGUACCAACUGGAUGAGCAGCAAACGGGUGAGUAACGCGUGGGGAAUCUGCCUUUGAGCGGGGGACAACAUUUGGAAACGAAUGCUAAUACCGCAUAAAAACUUUAAACACAAGUUUUAAGUUUGAAAGAUGCAAUUGCAUCACUCAAAGAUGAUCCCGCGUUGUAUUAGCUAGUUGGUGAGGUAAAGGCUCACCAAGGCGAUGAUACAUAGCCGACCUGAGAGGGUGAUCGGCCACAGUGGGACUGAGACACGGCCCAAACUCCUACGGGAGGCAGCAGUAGGGAAUCUUCGGCAAUGGACGAAAGUCUGACCGAGCAACGCCGCGUGAGUGAAGAAGGUUUUCGGAUCGUAAAACUCUGUUGGUAGAGAAGAACGUUGGUGAGAGUGGAAAGCUCAUCAAGUGACGGUAACUACCCAGAAAGGGACGGCUAACUACGUG